Molecule: ribosomal RNA, 1011 nt
Filed under: Triticum aestivum (bread wheat)
Lineage: Eukaryota; Viridiplantae; Streptophyta; Magnoliopsida; Poales; Poaceae
Description: partial small subunit ribosomal RNA
Source: RNAcentral
AUGGGGCGAACCACAACUAACCCUAUUUGGAGUAAGAUAUGGAAGCUAGCCUGUCUGGGAAAAGUUAAAAUUUUCUUAUGGCGUACGCUACAUGGUACAAUCCCAUGCCGGGUUACGCUAGCAAACAGACAUAUGAAGAUCUCACCCAUCUGCCCCACGUGCUCGGAGGGUUUAGAAGAUACAAAACAUAUGCUCUUCCGCUGUAGUAAAGCAAAGGAGGUCUUGAAAAGGCUAGGGAUGAACGAUAUUAUUGAUAAAGCUUGUGAAGUUGACCGUGCGGAAGAGGCGGUGUUGGAGUAUCUACUACUCCUACCAUAUCAACAUUUGUGGAUAUUGGGUUACCAUAAUGUACCUGAGAUGAUUGCUAUUUCAGCAUGGUACCUAUGGUGGGAAAGAAGGAAGCUGGUACACAAUGAAAAAACUCAAAAUGUAACUCAGAUCUCAAUGGGGAUUCUUGCUCUAACAAAAAAAAUUGUUAAUGCAUUUUCACCCAAGGCGUCGAUCAAAAUGGAGAGUUGGUCUUGUCCUCCAAGAGGUUUCGUUAAACUUAAUGUUGAUGCUUCUUUUGAUCACGAUCUUCUUAGGGGUUCCAUGGGAGCGGUCCUCCGAGACGACAAAGGCAUGUUCAUAGCUGGAGGAAAUGAGAAAAUAGAUUUUUUGGCAGAUGUGUUGAUGGCGGAAGCUUUAGCUCUAAAAUUCGGUCUAACACUGGCGCAACGGGCGGGAUGCAAUCGCCUUAUUAUAAAUUCAGAUAAUUUGGAGGUGAUUGAUACUAUGAAUGAUGGAGGACAAUCGGCGGGUGCGGCGGCAGCAAUCUUUGAUGAUUGUUUACAUUAUGCUUGCGAUUUCGUUAUUGCUAGAUUUAAACACUGUAAUAGGGAAGCAAAUAAAGUAGCUCAUGAGCUUGCUAGAUUAGCUAGAUUUUCUUUGACUUCUGAUUGGUUUGAGAUGCCUUUAAACGAAAUUUUAAUGAUCCUCAUAAACGAUGUACUACUUAUUACAAAUGAAUAA